This 263-nucleotide ribosomal RNA is filed under the name uncultured bacterium. RNAcentral describes it as "partial 16S ribosomal RNA". It matches the Rfam family "Bacterial small subunit ribosomal RNA", at positions 793 to 1055 of the family's 1533-position model. The record is from RNAcentral.
GUCCACGCCCUAAACGAUGACGACUAGUUGUUGGAGGAGUUAAAUCCUUUAGUAACGCAGCUAACGCGCGAAGUCGUCCGCCUGGGGAGUACGGUCACAAGAUUAAAACUCAAAGGAAUUGACGGGGGCCCGCACAAGCGUGGAUGAUGUGGUUUAAUUCGAUGCAACGCGAAAAACCUUCCUACCCUUGACAUGCUAGGAACUCUGCAGAGAUGCAGAGGUGCCCGAAAGGGACCUAGACACAGGUGCUGCAUGGCUGUCGU